UGGUAGGCAGGGUGAGAAUCCCAAGGCGCUUGAGAGAACUCGGGUGAAGGAACUAGGCAAAAUGGCACCGUAACUUCGGGAGAAGGUGCGCCUCUUUUGGUGGUGACGUGCGUCACUGAGCUGAGAGAGGUCGCAGUAACCUGGCCGCUGCGACUGUUUACCAAAAACAUAGCACUCUGCAAACACGAAAGUGGACGUAUAGGGUGUGACGCCUGCCCGGUGCCGGAAGG
RNAcentral lists this ribosomal RNA (230 nucleotides) under Chroomonas cf. mesostigmatica. Its description in RNAcentral is "partial Bacterial large subunit ribosomal RNA". It matches the Rfam family "Bacterial large subunit ribosomal RNA", at positions 1661 to 1876 of the family's 2925-position model. The record is from RNAcentral. Lineage: Eukaryota; Cryptophyceae; Pyrenomonadales; Chroomonadaceae.